Molecule: transfer RNA, 75 nt
Filed under: Bacteroidetes bacterium ADurb.Bin302
Lineage: Bacteria; Pseudomonadati; Bacteroidota
Description: tRNA-Arg
Rfam family: tRNA
About the family: Transfer RNA (tRNA) molecules are approximately 80 nucleotides in length. Their secondary structure includes four short double-helical elements and three loops (D, anti-codon, and T loops).
Source: RNAcentral
GGCUUCGUAGCUCAACUGAAUAGAGUAUCACACUACGGAUGUGAGGGUUCCGGGUUUGAAUCCCGGCGAGGUCAC